GGGCCCGCACAAGCGGUGGAGCAUGUGGUUUAAUUCGACGCAACGCGAGGAACCUUACCUGGGCUUGAACUGCGGUGGACCGCUUUAGAGAUAGAGCUUUUCGCAAGAACUGCUGCAGAGGUGCUGCAUGGCUGUCGUCAGCUCGUGUCGUGAGAUGUUGGGUUAAGUCCCGCAACGAGCGCAACCCUUACCCUUAGUUGCCAGCGCGUAAUGGCGGGAACUCUAGGGGGACCGCCCGGGUUAACCGGGAGGAGGGUGGGGAUGACGUCAAGUCCUCAUGGCCCUUAUGUCCAGGGCUACACACGUGCUACAAUGGGUGAUACAAACCGUCGCAAAGUCGCGAGGUGGAGCUAAUCGGAGAAAGUCACCCUCAGUUCGGAUUGCAGUCUGCAACUCGACUGCAUGAAGGUGGAAUCGCUAGUAAUCGUAUAUCAGAAUGAUACGGUGAAUACGUUCCCGGGCCUU
This 465-nucleotide ribosomal RNA is filed under the name uncultured bacterium. RNAcentral's name for it is "bacterial SSU rRNA". It matches the Rfam family "Bacterial small subunit ribosomal RNA", at positions 917 to 1382 of the family's 1533-position model. The record is from RNAcentral.